RNAcentral lists this ribosomal RNA (253 nucleotides) under uncultured bacterium. RNAcentral's name for it is "partial 16S ribosomal RNA". It matches the Rfam family "Bacterial small subunit ribosomal RNA", at positions 524 to 776 of the family's 1533-position model. The record is from RNAcentral.
GACGAACCGAGCGAACGUUGUUCGGAAUCACUGGGCUUAAAGGGCGCGUAGGCGGGUGCUCAAGUCCGCGGUGAAAUCCUCCGGCUCAACCGGAGAACUGCCUCGGAUACUGGGUGCCUCGAGGGUGGUAGGGGUAUGCGGAACUAUCGGUGGAGCGGUGAAAUGCGUUGAUAUCGAUAGGAACUCCGGUGGCGAAGGCGGCAUACUGGACCACCUCUGACGCUGAGGCGCGAAAGCCAGGGGAGCAAACGGG